RNAcentral lists this unclassified non-coding RNA (217 nucleotides) under Moritella viscosa. Its description in RNAcentral is "putative sRNA". The record is from RNAcentral. Lineage: Bacteria; Pseudomonadati; Pseudomonadota; Gammaproteobacteria; Alteromonadales; Moritellaceae.
UUACUAAAACAAAAAAACAAACAAAGACUAUACACGUGUUUCUUAGGUAUACGCCCUAUCAUUAAUUACGAUUAAAUGGAAUGGUAUAGUCAUUAAAAACAGCAGGUUAGAAGUAGUUUAAAUAGUGGGUAACCUUCAAGGUUUAAGGGCGAUACGCUACAGGUUUAGGUGGGUGAAUUGGACAAUUAUAAUGGUUUGAAUGGCGUAAUAACGGGUU